Molecule: ribosomal RNA, 49 nt
Filed under: fungal sp. 1.30.3J
Lineage: Eukaryota; Fungi
Also listed under: 1 other name
Description: partial 28S ribosomal RNA
Source: RNAcentral
UUGACCUCGGAUCAGGUAGGGAUACCCGCUGAACUUAAGCAUAUCAUAG